This 418-nucleotide long non-coding RNA is filed under the name Mytilus galloprovincialis (Mediterranean mussel). Lineage: Eukaryota; Metazoa; Mollusca; Bivalvia; Mytilida; Mytilidae. The record is from RNAcentral.
UUUGUUUGAAAAUCUUAUAUUACGGAAUAAAUGGUAUAACUGAAAAAAAUAUUGGAUUUCACUAAUCCGUCUAAGAUUUUAACUCCAACUGAACUCAGAAUUACUUCAUAACUAAUUGUUAGCUUUUGAAAUUAUGAAGUAUUGUGUAGUUAAAUAUAAUAAAUCUGGUUAGUGUACUCCACGGAUUGUUGGUUUCAAAUGUAUUCAAUAAAUCAAAUGAUAUAAUAUUUAAAAAAGAUAACUGGACGUGGCCGCAGGUAUUAAUAUGACUUUUAUCCCUAGAGGUGUGCGUUAAAACAUUAUCCUUUUAUGCAAUCCGUACCGAUUAAAUCGAAUUCAAAUUAAUAUAGAUCAGUUGAAGUUUAGACUUUUAAAUUGUAGGACCACCACCUUAAAAUCGAUACAAAGGAGGAUGUAG